AGAGAGUAGAUACAGAGUUAUGGCAUGAGAUAGCCAUACCAGGUCGCCCCUGGAUAGUCCAGGUCGCUCCUGGUACUAUGAGUGAGACAGCUGGGCUGUCAAAUCAGAGUUAAGUGUAGACCAGGUGAGACUUCGUCUCCUUGGCACAGUUGGUCAUGUUAUGAUAUCAGAGAGAUAAGUGUAGACCAGGUGAUGACAUAGUGAAAGCUUGUAUAUGUGUUAUGUAUGUUGUUGUGUUGGGGGUUUUAGGUAGGUUGGGACCCCUUUGUUCAUAUACUUGAGUAUAUGUGUGUUGAGUAAAGGAGUUAGGCAUGUUUAGAGAGGUGGAAAGGAUGGAGGAGCUAGGUUGCGGGAGAAGCUGAGUUCUUGAAGAACUCAGGUUCGGCAGCCGAAGGAGCAUUCGGCCGCCGAACCCCUUGCAUGGUGGCUUAGGCUGCCACAGCUUGCCCCCGAGUGUUUUUGAGGUUCGGCUCUGUUUAGGGGAUUCGGCCGCCGAAGGUGCCGCCGAAGGUUAGAGACUUUCGUCUCUGGAGUGUGUUGUGGCCCCCGAACCUUGCCCCCGAAAGGGUUCGGCAGCCGAAAGUGGAGAUUCGGCCGCCGAACGUAUGCGAGUUUCGGCUCUAGACAGGGCAUUCGGCCGCCGAACCUGCCGCCGAAUGUGUUCUGUCUAGCUUUUCUUUUGCAUGCUUUGUGUGCUUGUGUCAGGAGUGUAACAGCCCGGAAACCGAUACCCCUCUGUAACGGCCUGAACCGCCACCGGCGCUAGGAUCCAGAUCGGCUUAAGGCCGCCGGGACCCGUAGCAAGCCAAACAUACAUACUAAUACCUGGUCAAAUCCCAUACAUGAUCAAAAACUUAACAUAAAAACUGAAAACAUCUGAUGUAUAUCCCGAGCCUGACCUGUAUGCAACAUAACUGGAAACAUAAAAGAACCCCCCUACUAGAGCCCUCAUCAUAACUCUAGCUGGGUCAACAUAACAUACAUCAAGUUGGGAUCACAUCCAAAGAACUAUGACCUAACCUGUGCAUGCCUCAAUCACAAACAUAAGACCUCUACUAGGGUCCUCAUCAAAUACCAUAGCGUGGUAAACAACACAUGCCACAAGAUUAGUUCAAACAUAACUUAACAUCUAAAACAUUACAUACAUCAUGUAUUAAACAGGGACUAACCAAGUCUUAGGGCCAAGCACAGUACUAAACCAUAAACAUAACUUUACUAUACUAUACAUUACAUAACCUUAUCUUCAAUUACAUUACAUCUCAUGUCCACAACUAACAUACUAUUCUAUUACAUAACCUUUACCCUUGACAUCUUCCUGAGCAACCUCUGACCUGCAAAACUGGGAUUAGGGGAAAGGGAUGAGCUAAAAAGCCCAGUGAGUAGAAACAUAGAAAACAGUUCAUUAAUUACAUGCUCUCAUGAAAUGCGUCAUAACACAAAGAAAUCACAUAACUGUCUCUGUUCCGUCUCGGGGCUCAUGCAGAUAAAUAUUCCCCACGGAGUGUUUUUGAGAGUUCCUCUAUGCUAGCGUCCUUUACUCUCAAGGAUCGGACAUGACCUCAAAAAUCCCUCUGUCGGUGCCCGGCUCCCCCAAAGGAGCUCGCAUAGGCCUAUAACAUACAUGACAGGGUGCCAAAUCCACAGAGAGCUCACAAGGACUUUCCUAUGUGUACUUGUCCGGCUCUCGAAGGACUCACCCAAGACUCAAUGACAGAUAUGGGCUAUUGAAGUCGCCUUGGUCCAAACCUCCUGAAUCAACAUCAAAUAAUGCAAUGCGCCAUAUUCGUGAACUAGUGCAAACAACCUACUACAUAUAAUCAUGAUGCAUGAACAUGCUUUAGGCAUUUGAUUUUCUUAAAAUAAAAGAUUAAGUUAGUUCUACUCACCUCCUUGCAGACGCUGACUGACUCUGCAACUGCUAGCACUACUGGCCUCCUCGGUCUCUCGGGUCCGAUCCUACACAGGUGGACUCGAAUGAGGUGCCAAACAUACUCUAAAAAAACUCAUAAACAUACCCCCAAAAACCCCUCUAAACAUCACUAAAACAUGCUGGACAGGGCACUUUCGGCGGCACUUUCGGCGGCCGAAAGUCCCUUCCAGAGACGAAACUCGGGUAGGUUCGGCGGCAGGUUCGGCGGCCGAAACCUCUGGACAGAAACGAAAGUCAGGCACCUUCGGCGGCCGAAUCCUUCCUUCGGCGGCCGAAAGUCUGCUUUCAAGCCAAACUCAGCUUUCGGGGGCAAGGUUAGGCGGCCAAACCAUGCAUUCAAAGGCAGGUUCGGCGGCCGAAGCCACUUUCGGCGGCCGAACCUGAGUUCUUCCCAGAAGGGCAGAACUCAGCUUCUCAUGCAUUCAAGCCUCCCAAACCUUCCAAACACCCCAAAACAAGCACCCAACUUUACCAAAACAUGCAUAAACCUUAAACCAUGCACAAAGGAGCUUAAACAACUAGCUUAAACUCCAAAACCAACAACAAAACAUACAUAUCAACAUACAUUGGCACAAAACCCACAAAAUCCUUAAACAUGCAUUUCUACCCAAACUCAACCAUUAAAACCAUCAUAAAACUUCAUGAAAACACUAGGGAAGCAAAGAUCUACACUUACCUCUUGAAGAUCGAGGGUGGUGUGAUCCCUAACUCGGAGGUGUGGAGAAUCCAAGCUCCAAAAGCUCCAAGCUCCCAAAACUUGAUCUAAGCUUGAAAACUCUUCAAAAUAACCAUGGAACUCAUGAAAACAUGAAGGAGAUGAAGAAAGAACAUGAAAACGGCCAAGGGAGGACAAAAACUCACCUGAGCUCGAGAAUGGGGAGAAAACUCUCCCAUUUCCGAUCUGAGGGCCUUUUAUAGGUGGCCUGGUCGAACACCUUCGGCGGCCUAACGUGCCCCCUAAACUCAUGCAAGUUCGGCGGCCGAACCUGACUUUCGGCGGCCGAACCUUGGCUCGUUCAAACAAGACUUUCGGAGGCCAAAAGCACUCCCGAAGCCUUUCCAUGUUCGGCGGCCGAACUCCACUUUCGGCGGCCGAACCUGGCAAACGCCUCCUUGGUCUUUUCUCUUCAAAACUCAAUUUUCUUUCAAUUAAAACCCUUAAAAUCAUUUGAAAAUAUUUUUAGAAAACACAUUUUACCCUUCUAGAGAGGUCCAACACCCUAGAUUCCGCCGGAAGGCAGAAAGUCCGAUGCCGGAUUCUAGCCGGGUAUUACAAAUACCCGGCAGAGUCAGACAUCGGAAUUUCUACCGUUCGGUGGAAUUCGAGGAUGUCAGAAGUCUCUGGAAGGGUACGAGAAAGUUUUCUCAAAUGUUUUCAAGUGUUUUAAAGGUUUAGCGUAGAAAAGAGUUGAGUUUUGUGGAGAAUUGGCCAAAGGAGUUUCUGUCAUGUUCGGCCCCUGAAGGUUAAGUUCGGCCCCCGAAAGUGCCCAAUGUUCGGCCCCCGAAGGUUAUGUUCGGCCCCCGAAAGUUGCAUGGUUUUGCAUGCAGUUUCGGCAGCCGAAGCUGAGGUGGUCGAUUAGUUGUGCACGCUCCUCCGUCCGUGGUUUGGCCAGGUGUUCACCUCCAGAUCAUGACCAGAGGUUAGGCCACGUCUCCCUUGACUCAUCUACAAGUUUUUAAGCAGCUCAUGCAGAGGGUUGCUCGUUUGCAAGAGGUUUUGAAGGUUUUGAGAGAAAAGAGAGGUUUUGGUGGUUUGAAGCUUGUGAAGGGGAUUUGUUGGGUUCAAGUUGUUCCUCUUCUAGUUUCAGGAGGUAAGAGAGGUCUUUAUACUUGUUUUCAUGGUUUAAGUGGUUUAUGAACAGCUUUUAAGGAGGUUAAGGGUAGAGUUGUGUAUAUAGGUUUUAGGUGUUAUGUUGAUGGUUUAAUGGUGUAAGCAUGUUAUGUGUAUUGUUUUGUUGGCGUUUAAGUUGUUUGAUGCUCCUUUAUGCUUGUUAACAUGUUUAUGCAUGUUUUAGACGGGUUAACUGCAUGUUUUGAGGGCUGAGCAAGUGCUGGAGGGACUGGCAGGCGUCCUUGUGCACGAAACUGAGUUCUGGAUGAACUCAGGUUCGGCCGCCGAAAGUCCAAGUUAGGCCACCGAACAUGCCUGACUUUCGUCUCUGGAGGAGACAUUCGGCCGCCGAAGGUGCUGCCGAAGGUGCCCUGUCCAGCCUUCCUUUGCUUGUUUUGCAUGCAUGUUGUGAGGUGUUCUAGAGGGGUUUUGGGGAACUUUGUUAUCAGUUGCAUAGAGUAUGUGUGGUGCCUCAUUUGCGUCCUCCAUUGUAGGAUUGGACCCGAGGAACCGAGGUGUUUAGCCCAGAGUUAGCCAAGCAGUGGCUACAGGUGAGUGGAACUAAACGUCCUAUUUUUUUUGAGAAAUGACACGAUUCUAGCAUGAUCCAUGCAUCAUAAACUACCAUGUUAUAUCUUAGGUUGUGUUGCAUUAGAAUUCACGAAUAUGCUGCAUUGCAUAAGAUGUUGUUCCUGUGGAUGAAUGUUGGAUGAUCCUCAGCCCAUGACAGAGAGCAGAUACAGAGUUAUGGCAUGAGAUAGCCAUACCAGGUCGCCCCUGGAUAGGCCAGGUCGCUCCUGGUACUAUAGUCAGAGCACAGAGCAGAGUUAAGAGAAGACCAGGUGAUGACAUCGUCUCCCUGGCACAGUUGGUCAUGUUAUGACAUCAGAGCAGAGAUAAGAGUAGACCAGGUGAUGACAUCGUCUCCCUGGCACAGUUGGUCAGAUUAUCACAUGUAGUUAAGGGCUAUUGGUGACACGUUCAUCCUUGAGAUGAUAUGUUUGUGAUGUGCUGCAUUUCAUGAGAGCAUGUAAUGAAUGAACUGUUUUUAUUGUUCCUCCUCACUGGGCUCUAGAGCUCAUCCCACUCCCUUACCCCCAGUUUUGCAGGUCCUGAGAUAGCUAUGGGAAAUCAAAGUCAGCAAGAGUACAGAGGAAAGUUGUGCUUGAAUGUAUGCUGUAAUAGUGUAGUGGACAUGAUGUAAUUAAAAGAUUAACUGCCAUGUAAUGUAUAGAUCUGUACUGUCAUAUAUGGAUAGACUUGUGCUUUCCCUAGUGUUAUUUUGCUGUUGUGUAAUGUAUGCUGAAUCCCCUGUACAUGAAUCCUGUUUUACGUUUCUUGAUGAGAAAUGUGUGAGUUAGGCUUAAUGUAUGGCUUCGAUGAGAUACCGGUGGAAUGUGUUACAGAUUAAAAGGGUUUCAUUCCCAUGCCCCACAGCAGAUAGUGGUCCCUGGUAUAGGCCCUGAGGGUCAUUUCAGAUUGACAUAUCUGAGUAGCAGCAGUUAAGCCUACAGAGUUUUACAGGAUUGUUGAGUCUAUUGGUAUCAUGUCUGGGAUUUAUCAGGUACACAGAGAGUAUAGUCGGCUUGCUACGGGUCCCGGCGGCCUUAAGCCGAUCUGGAUCCUAGUGCCAGUGAUGGUUCGGACCGUUACUGAUGGGUACCGGUUUUCGGGUCGUUACAGAUUGGUAUCAGAGCAUAGGGCCUCAAGAGUACGGUGUGUUGAUAUAUUCCACAUCGGAAAGAGGUGUUGUCUUGUAUAGGAAGGGAAGCACAAUAAGUUAAAAUCAUGUCCACUAGGAUAGGAUGUGGAGUCCUGUCUUGCAUGCUGAUGUGAAAUGCCAUGAUGAGCUGCAUGUGCCUUAUUGAUAUGUUUGAUAUGUGCUGAGGAUUCAUGUGUUUUCACAUGGAUCAUUUAAUGAUAUUUUUGUGUGAUGUUGUGCUUUUCAGAGGCAGGAUGAGAGGAACUCGUCGAUCUGCUCGAUUGACUGGAGCUCCGCUAGAGGAUGAGGACAUGGAUGCCCAUCUCCCUGUUCUGCAAAGGGCAACAUCAGCUAGUGUAAGCAGAGAAGGUACAUCAAGGGACCCUAGAAGGUCUGUUGAUGAGAGUAGAAGGGGAAUCGUUCAGAGUGGUAUGUCAGGGGUUAUGAGAGAAAUAGAGGAGGAUGAGCAGAGUAGAGAUGGUAGCUUUGGCAGGAGUAGGUUGGGAGGAGAUAUGGGUGAGUCCCAAGGAGGCACUCAGACCUCGAGAGUUGUUCCACCUCAGUAUCCACCCUACCCGUGGGGGGCAGAGUACCCAAUGAGAAGUACAUCAGAGUUGCCUAGGUAUAACCCAUAUCCCUCUUUUAUGCCCUAUCCUUCCUUUUACCCGCCAUAUCCACAGUAUACCAUGUGUCCACCCUUCUUUUGUUACCCAGGGUCAGUAAACCCUAACCCAAGGCAUGUUACACCUCCUCCAUCACCAGGAGAACCAGUAGCCCCAAUUGUCCAACCACCCAAGCCUAUUUCACCUGGGAAAAGUAUGGUGCAGAUGACAGCUUAUUUGAGGUUGGAUGUUCCCAAAUUUGAGACUGGUGAUGACUCUGUUGAGUAUCUUAGACUGGUCAAGAUGAUAACUGAUGAGUUGGGAGCCAGUGAGAGUAGAGCCAUUCAGAUGGCAGGGAGCACAUUGAAUUGUGCGAAGGCAAGGGAAUGGUUUACCCAGUACGUGAACCCGAGGGUAGAAAGCUUAUCUUGGGAGCAGUUUGCUGCAGAGUUUGUAGGAUGGGCUUGUCCAGAGAAUUCAAGGGAGCAUAAGGAGAGUGAAUUUGCGCAGCGUUAUUUUGCUGUUGUGUAAUGUAUGCUGAAUCCCCUGUACAUGAAUCCUGUUUUACGUUUCUUGAUGAGAAAUGUGUGAGUUAGGCUUAAUGUAUGGCUUCGAUGAGAUACCAGUGGAAUGUGUUACAGAUUAAAAGGGUUUCAUUCCCAUGCCCCACAGCAGAUAGUGGUCCCUGGUAUAGGCCCUGAGGGUCAUUUCAGAUUGACAUAUCUGAGUAGCAGCAGUUAAGCCUACAGAGUUUUACAGGAUUGUUGAGUCUAUUGGUAUCAUGUCUGGGAUUUAUCAGGUACAUAGAGAGUAUAGUCGGCUUGCUACGGGUCCCGGCGGCCUUAAGCCGAUCUGGAUCCUAGUGCCAGUGAUGGUUUGGACCGUUACUGAGGGGUACCGGUUUCCGGGUCGUUACAUCUGCAAAGACAAGGUAAGACAGUUCAGAUUUCAGAGGCUCGGAUGGAUCAGAGUUAGUCCUUAGAGGGGACAGCAUAGCAUACCCAGAAGUUUGAUAUCAGCCCUACAGGCUCGUGAAUUCUUUAGGAAAGGUAGUCAGGGGUUUUCUUGCUCUGAGCGCAUAGCCAGGUCAGGGAACCAGCCUCAGUACCCAUAAUCAGAAAGAGAGAAAGAGAGUGAUAUGUGUUGUACCAGACAAGCUAACAGGGUUACCAUUGGUAACACAAUAGAGAGUCUGAAAGGUAAGUGAGGAUAGAGACUAGACUCAUCUUCACCUCUUCCUUCGACAUGGUAUCUGUAGCAUGUCAGAGUUGAAAAACAACUGUAAGAGCUAGAAAAGCAGUUGCAAGUUUGAGAGAGAUAGUAGAGCAGUUGUGAACUUGGUAGUGCAGGCUUCUAUCCGACUUAGUACUACACCCUGGAAUGUUCCAGUGUUGAUGUGAGAAACGAGGAUGAAACCUUGAGAGUGUAUCACAACUGUGAGCAGUUGCACAAAAUCACGACCAAGGACAGGUGUUCCUAUGCAGAAGGGAUGAUCUAUAGGAACAACUAGUAGACACUGGUUAUUAUCAGUGUAUCCUAUAGAAACAGAUAACUAGAGAGCGAGAGAGCUAUAGAUAGUCCAGUGUAGUUAAAAGGGAUCAAAAGAGAAGAAGCCAGUAUAGUAAAGAAGAAGAAAGGCGGGCAAGGAUCAGAGUGGCGCAGCAAAAGCGUAGAAUAGUUUAGAAAAGCAAGAGUCGUGUAACUAAAAUAAUGAGAAUAACGCUGAGAAGAGCCAAAGAGACAGAAAAGUUAGCAGUCAGUAUAGAGUGUGGACACAGAUUAAACAGGUAAGAGGUAGGAAGUAUAGCCAACCCAAGAGUUUUACUCCAGUGGUAUCUGUGUCUCUUUGUAGAGGAAAGUGUUAGGCUUUCCUUAAUUGCUUAUUUGCAUGUGUGUUUGUUGUGUGAACAUUCGAGGACGAAUGUUCUUAAAGGGGGGAAGAAUGUAAUACCCGGCUAGAUUCAGACAUCGGAAUUCCUACCGUCCGGUGGAAUUCGGAGAUGUCAGAGGUUUCUGGAAGGGUAAGAGAAAGGUUUUCUAAAAUGUUUUCAAGUGUAUUAAAGGUUUAGAGUGGAAAAGGACUGAGUUGUGAAGAGAAAAGGCCAAAGGGGCAUUUUGCCAUGUUCGGCCGCCGAAGGUAAAGUUUGGCCGUCGAAAAUGCCCAAUGUUCGGCCCCCGAAGUUCAAGUUCGGCCCCCGAAUGUUGCAUGGUUUUGCAUGCGAUUCGGCAGCCGAAGUUGAGCUGGUCAGCCAGCUAUUGUGCACACCUCAUUCGAUGAAGUGGCCAGGUGUUGCCUCCAGAUCAUAUUAGGCCACAUCUCCCAUGACUCAUCUGCAGAGUUUUAUCAACUUAUGCAGAGGUUUGGCUUUGUUCAAAUGGUUUUUGAAGGUUUUGAGUCAAAAGUGAGCGUUGAUGGUUUGGUGAAGGAGAAGAGCUGUUGGUACAUCGUAUUGAGUUCAGGUUGUUCAGCUUCUAGUUUCAAGAGGUAAGGGAAGUUUUUAAACUUGUUUUAAUGGUUUAUGACAGCUUUUAAAGAGGUUAAGGGUAGAGUUGCAUAUGUAGGUUUGGUUUUGAUGUUUUUGAUAGUUUAUGCAUGAAAGCUUGUAUAUGUGUUAUGUAUGUUGUUGUCUUGGGGGUUUUAGGUAGGUUGGGACCCCUUUGUUCAUAUACUUGAGUAUAUGUGUGUUGAGGAAUGGAGUUAGGCAUGUUUAGAGAGGUGGAAAGGAUGGAGGAGCUAGGUUGCAGGAGAAGCUGAGUUCUUGAAGAACUCAGGUUCGGCAGCCAAAGGAGCAUUCGGCCGCCGAACCCCUUGCAUGGUGGCUUAGGCUGCCACAGCUUGCCCCCGAGUGUUUUUGAGGUUCGGCUCUGUUUAGGGGAUUCGGCCGCCGAAGGUGCCGCCGAAGGUUAGAGACUUUCGUCUCUGGAGUGUGUUGUGGCCCCCGAACCUUGCCCCCGAAAGGGUUCGGCAGCCGAAAGUGGAGAUUCGGCCGCCGAACGUAUGCGAGUUUCGGCUCUGGAUAGGGCAUUCGGCCGCCGAACCUGCCGCCGAAUGUGUUCUGUCUAGCUUUUCUUUUGCAUGCUUUGUGUGCUUGUGUCAGGAGCUUUUAGAGGGAUUUUGGGAAGUUGUUUAUGAGUGAAUAAGAGUAUGUUUGACACCUCAUUCGAGUCCAUUUGUGUAGGAUUGGACCCGAGAGAUCGAGGAGGUCACCAGUGUUAGUGGUUGCAGCGUCAGGUCAGUUUUCUGCUUGAGGAGCAGAGGUGAGUGGAACUAAACUUAAUAUUUUAUCUUGAGAAAUGACACGAUUCUAGCAUGAUCCAUGCAUCAUAAACUGCCAUGUUAUGUAGUAGGUUGUGUUGCAUUAGACUUCACGACUAUGAUGCAUUGCAUAUGUUGUUGUUCUUGUGGAUGAAUGUUGGAUGAUCCUUAGCCCUUGACAGAGAGCAGAUACAGAGUUAUGGCAUGAGAUAGCCAUACCAGGUCGCCCCUGGAUAGUCCAGGUCGCUCCUGGUACUAUGAGUGAGACAGUUGGGCUGUCAAAUCAGAGUUAAGUGUAGACCAGGUGAGACUUCGUCUCCUUGGCACAGUUGGUCAUGUUAUGAUAUCAGAGAGAUAAGUGUAGACCAGGUGAUGACAUAGUCUCCUUGGCACAGUUGGCAUUAUUAUAACAUGUAGUUGAGGGUUAUUGGUGACAAAUUCAUCCUUGAGAUGAUAUGUUUGUGAUGUGAUGCAUUUCAUGAGAGCAUGUAAUGAAUGAACUGUUUUUAUUGUUCCUCCUCACUGGGCUCUAGAGCUCAUCCCACUCCCUUAAUCCCAGUUUUGCAGGUUCUGAGAUAGCUAUGGGAAGUCAAAGUCAGCAAGAGUACAGA
RNAcentral lists this long non-coding RNA (9932 nucleotides) under Manihot esculenta (cassava). RNAcentral describes it as "long non-coding RNA (MESC_LNC004025)". Lineage: Eukaryota; Viridiplantae; Streptophyta; Magnoliopsida; Malpighiales; Euphorbiaceae. The record is from RNAcentral.